This 64-nucleotide transfer RNA is filed under the name Ateuchotermes retifaciens. RNAcentral describes it as "tRNA-Phe". The record is from RNAcentral. Lineage: Eukaryota; Metazoa; Arthropoda; Insecta; Blattodea; Termitidae.
ACUUGAAUAGCUUAUUUAGAGCGUGACACUGAAGAUGUCAAUGAGGUAUUUAUACCUUUAAGUA